RNAcentral lists this ribosomal RNA (748 nucleotides) under uncultured bacterium. RNAcentral describes it as "bacterial SSU rRNA". It matches the Rfam family "Bacterial small subunit ribosomal RNA", at positions 59 to 796 of the family's 1533-position model. The record is from RNAcentral.
CAGUCGAGGGGCAGCAUGGUUUUAGCUUGCUAAGGCCGAUGGCGACCGGCGCACGGGUGAGUAACGCGUAUCCAACCUGCCUUACACUCUUGGACAGCCUUCUGAAAGGGAGAUUAAUACAAGAUGUUAUCAUGAGUAAGCAUUUUCGCAUGAUUAAAGGUUUACCGGUGUAAGAUGGGGAUGCGUUCCAUUAGAUAGUAGGCGGGGUAACGGCCCACCUAGUCUUCGAUGGAUAGGGGUUCUGAGAGGAAGGUCCCCCACAUUGGAACUGAGACACGGUCCAAACUCCUACGGGAGGCAGCAGUGAGGAAUAUUGGUCAAUGGACGAGAGUCUGAACCAGCCAAGUAGCGUGAAGGAUGAAGGUUCUAUGGAUUGUAAACUUCUUUUAUACGGGAAUAAACGAAUCCACGCGUGGAUUUUUGCAUGUACCGUAUGAAUAAAGAUCGGCUAACUCCGUGCCAGCAGCCGCGGUAAUACGGAGGAUCCGAGCGUUAUCCGGAUUUAUUGGGUUUAAAGGGAGCGUAGAUGGGUUGUUAAGUCAGUUGUGAAAGUUUGCGGCUCAACCGUAAAAUUGCAAUUGAUACUGGCAGUCUUGAGUACAGUUGAGGUAGGCGGAAUUCGUGGUGUAGCGGUGAAAUGCUUAGAUAUCACGAAGAACUCCGAUUGCGAAGGCAGCUUACUAACCUGUAACUGACAUUGAUGCUCGAAAGUGUGGGUAUCAAACAGGAUUAGAUACCCUGGUAGUCC